Non-coding RNA from Takifugu rubripes (torafugu), 114 nucleotides. NCBI's taxonomy places the organism in Eukaryota, Metazoa, Chordata, Actinopteri, Tetraodontiformes, Tetraodontidae. The record is from Rfam.
GUGGGAUAUGGUGACAUGUGUCCUUCCACCAUUGGAGGGAAAUUCGUUGGGUCGCUGUGCGCCAUCGCCGGUGUGCUGACCAUCGCGCUGCCCGUCCCGGUUAUCGUGUCAAAU